ACAAAUGUUUGUUAUUAUGGCCUAUAGAUGCAUUCGGCAACUUGAGUUCAGUGUCACAGUGCUGUUUUUUUUUUCAGUCCAAAGAGCCCGAAGCUGAUAAGACUGGCGAUUGAUCCUGAAGCUGAUUUGACAGACGAUUGCAUCAUCACAAUAUUGAAGGUUCAAUAUACAGUCAGCCUCUCAUAAGAUAAAGAACAAAUCCCAAGAUCCAAGGCUUGCUUCAAAGUUAAGAGAGCAUUCAGUGCCGCAAAGAAAUUGUUCAGGAAAAGGAGAAGUGGUGGAUAUUCAUUUUUGGUACGGUACAGUUCAAAGAGAUUUUCAAAAUGGUCAUGGAAGAUCAAAGGGAGGACAACUGAAAAAACUGAAAGAUUCAGAAGGAAAAAGA
Molecule: long non-coding RNA, 385 nt
Organism: Saccostrea cuccullata (small rock oyster)
Lineage: Eukaryota; Metazoa; Mollusca; Bivalvia; Ostreida; Ostreidae
Exons: 3
Source: RefSeq, a predicted model, not a curated record